This is a long non-coding RNA of Neofelis nebulosa (Clouded leopard), 1845 nucleotides long. RefSeq lists it as uncharacterized. The transcript has 2 exons. The record is from RefSeq and is a predicted model, not a curated record. Lineage: Eukaryota; Metazoa; Chordata; Mammalia; Carnivora; Felidae.
UGAACAGAACUGUGAGCAUGUGUGCGUGUGUGUUGUGUAAUAGGAGAGUAGGGCACACAACAUAAAAGAAUAGGAAGACAAUUACACAACACUCUUCCAGACCCCCUCUCCUCACACAAGUGAUUGUGAUAUUCAAAUCCCACACCCAUCGUGCACUGGUAUAAUUUAGAGAACUAAAAAGAAACCUUCCUCCAUAUCUGAAAAGUGCCAUGAAGAAGCUGAUCUUGAGCAGGGCUUGAAGAACUGGAGGCAUCAGGAGGAGUGGGGGACAUUUAGAAAUGUUCUUAUGGCUCAGAGUGAGUGUGAGGAGCCUGGAAUGGGACCCUCCCUAGGUCCCCUGUGUGAUCUUGUAGCAUCUCAACCUUUGCGAGUCCCACCGCUCUCCUGACCAAGGUCCGCUUCCUUCACAUCACCCUCCCUGUCACUGUGGAAAAGGCACUGGCCCCAGAGUCAGGGGCUUCCGGCCCCACCACACCCUCUGUUUCCUGGGGAAGCCACUCCCCUCUGUGGCCUCAGCUUCUUUAUCUCUAGAACAAAGCCAUGAGGCUACAAGGCCCGGGGCCUCCCAGCUCUGCUAUGUGACAGUUGUAAGGCCCUGGAAGUCACCCAGGAUCCAGGUGAUGAGUGUGUAGGAGGAGGUGCAGGUGGAGGAGGGACGCCCUGAGAGAAGACACAGCCUUCAGCUCUUCUUGCCCCAGAGUCCCUGCUCCUGUUCUGUCCUCAAGCUCAUCCAUCCCAUCCCAGAAACUUUGAUUCCUCCUUCCUUCAUGUGGCACACUCUCCCCACCUCCCUGCCACAACCUUUGGUCUGGACUCCCUCUGGUCUCUGCUGACAUGUUACUUCCUCAGGGACAGUUUGCCCCCCUACCCCUGUUGCACCCCAGGGAAGGUGAGUAGCUCCUGCUCAAGUGCAGUCGUGGCCAGUGAGCAUCACAUGAUUGCAUGUUUACCACCUGCCACUGUACUUUCCAUGACAAUGGUUUGGUAAGAGCAACCAACAUGGAAAAACUGCCAUCAGAAGUCACACUAUCUACUGUGCAGUGAAGCAGAGCAUUUUACAUGGUGAACGAAAGCUGUGACCAGAUUGUGAGCAGCACAUGUGACUGCGGUCCCUGUCACUGUGCUGCUGGCUGCAAACCGUGUGUCUGCCAGAAUAAGACAAGUAUUUGGACAACUUAUAAAUCAAGCAAAAAAUCAUUAUCAGUGUCGUUUCAACUAUGUCACCUGAAUGUGUUUUAAUCACUUCAAUACUAAAUUGAGGACAUGUAAGAAGAAGGGUUUUGUUGAUCUGAGAAUCCAGUGCAUCAAAGGUAGUCAUCAGUGCUCAAACAAGAUGUGACACGGUUACACGUGUACCCAUGGUGCCAGUGUGGCCACAAAGUUCAGGGUCUCACACAAAGUUUUAGAGAAAUUUCUGGAUAUUCUAACUUGGUACUGCGUAAGUCAUGUAUUCAGUGAUUUCAGGAUGAUACAGUGAAAUGUGAAUUCAAAUAAAUCACUUUAAAUAUUUACUUCAGGACACUUUGUAUUCACAUGUAAUAUACACAGUAAAUGAACAUCUGAGUUAGUUCCCAGAGAGGGGGUGUGGGGGUUGGGACAGCAGGGGAGGGGGAGCGGGAACACAGGCUGCAGUUAGGGAAUGAAGAAGUGACUGAAUAGAAGGCACAGCAUGAGGAACAGUCAUUGCUACUGUAACAGGAUGUGUUGGGGCAGCUACACCUGUGGUGGAGAGAGCACAAUGUGUGAACUUGUCAUACGUUACCUUGUACACCUGGAACCAAUGUGACAUUAUGUGUCAACUCUACUCAAAUUGAAAAAAAACUAUUUUUAAUUACUCUAUUACAA